This is a long non-coding RNA of Nannospalax galili (Upper Galilee mountains blind mole rat), 647 nucleotides long. RefSeq lists it as uncharacterized. The transcript has 2 exons. The record is from RefSeq and is a predicted model, not a curated record. NCBI's taxonomy places the organism in Eukaryota, Metazoa, Chordata, Mammalia, Rodentia, Spalacidae.
UCUGUGGUUAUUCUUGGGGGUCCCUUCUCUGGGCACAACACCUUCAGAGUCCCCCUUCUGCCCCAGAGCUCCAGGUUCCCUAUGUUAGAAGUCCACAGAGGCCGGUCGGUGCCACCACGUCUUUAUCUCAGACUUACCGCUGCACUCAGGCACUGCAGGCCUCCAUCAUGACUCAGCGAAUUAACUUCCUCCUGCUCCAGGUUCUUAUUCAACAGCUCAGAUAACAAAAGAUAAAACCCUUGGCUGACUCCCUUGGCCUAGGAGGAGAAAGCACUCAUGUGCUUUGCAUCUGAAACUCAGGGCAGGGUGGCCUGACCCAGGAGAAGGUGUUGAUAAGACCUCAGCAUCAAAACCUUCUAGAAGUCUUACUAAACCCAGAUUGCUGGAUCCUGUCUCAGAACUUCUGCUUCAGUUGGUCUUGGGGGAUCUGAGAAUCUGCACUUCUAACAAGUUCCCAAGUGCUGCUUGAACAGACUCACAUUCUGUGGAUCAUUAUUCUAUUAUUUGAAGCUCUUAGUGGAUCAUUAUUUACAUAUUUGGGCAUUUCUGUGAUUCACCAAAUAUUGGUGGGGUUUGGGAUAGAUUGGGAAUUAUCAUUAACUUCUCUGGUUCAUUAAAAUGUUUUUAUUUAUUCUUUGACAAUUUCA